GACGAACGCUGGCGGCGUGCUUAGCACAUGCGAGUCGAACGGUGAAGCUCCAGCUUGCUGGAGUGGAUCAGUGGCGAACGGGUGAGUAACACGUGAGCAACCUGCCCCUGACUCUGGAAUAAGCGCUGGAAACGGCGUCUAAUACUGGAUACGAGAAGGGUCCGCAUGGGCACUUUCUGGAAAGUUUUUCGGUUGGGGAUGGGCUCGCGGCCUAUCAGCUUGUUGGUGAGGUAAUGGCUCACCAAGGCGACGACGGGUAGCCGGCCUGAGAGGGCGACCGGCCACACUGGGACUGAGACACGGCCCAGACUCCUACGGGAGGCAGCAGUGGGGAAUAUUGCACAAUGGGCGAAAGCCUGAUGCAGCGACGCCGCGUGAGGGAUGACGGCCUUCGGGUUGUAAACCUCUUUCAGCAGGGAAGAAGCGAAAGUGACGGUACCUGCAGAAGAAGCACCGGCUAACUACGUG
Molecule: ribosomal RNA, 468 nt
Filed under: uncultured bacterium
Lineage: Bacteria
Description: partial 16S ribosomal RNA
Rfam family: Bacterial small subunit ribosomal RNA
Source: RNAcentral